GUUUGUCCCCCCGCCUUAAAAGGGACCGCGUGGAGGGGGCUCGCUCUUUUCCGCGCUUCGCCGCUACUACCGAGUUGGUUGUUGGAGGGAGGUUUUCUGCCGAAGCCAUGUGGGAUCUGACUUCAAAAAGCCAUAGAAAGAACCAGCGUGUAGAGUUGCGGGAGAAACAUGCAAAGGGACUCAGGAGCUGUCCUCCAAGAUGAGCAAUUGUGAUUGAAAUGCCAACUGUUAACUGGAAAGGAUAAUAAUAUCUCUGUGAAGAUGGAUUGGGCCAAGACAUUGACUGGCCCAACAUCCAGACAGCUUGCACACCUAAGUUGGGACUAGAAUUUUCCUUGAAGAGGCUUGUUAGAUACACAGUUUGUACUGAUGUAAACAUGAUUAAAAUCAGAGACCAGAUUUGCAUUAUUAAAGUUGAGAGCUGAAAGAAGAUUUUAGAAGAAUACACUUCUAAGAUGCAUGAAGGUAGGCUUGGACAAAUAUUACUACUAUUCAAUGCACUCAAGACUACUGAAAGUGUCCAUUUUUCCCUUGAAACCCUCUGAAGACCUACAUAUUGGGGCAAAGAGAUUAUUUCCUGCAUUAUUGUGGCAGUAAACUUAGAAGCUAACUUCUUCCCUUUGUUGUACAUGCUUACUGAAUGGGUCCAGUUUCAGAACCCUUCAGAUGGCAAAGAAGGGAUCCUUAAAAAUUCAUCUUGCA
This is a non-coding RNA of Thamnophis sirtalis, 702 nucleotides long. The record is from RefSeq and is a predicted model, not a curated record. Lineage: Eukaryota; Metazoa; Chordata; Lepidosauria; Squamata; Natricidae.